UAAUUUGUGUUCCAUCUUCUUUUGGUUCCCAAUUGUCUCACUCCUCCCUAGAAUUAGUCCAAUCAGUCCAUUGCUAAGUCUCUCUCUUCUUUUGGGCUGGGCAGUUUCUGGAGUUGCUGCUCCUUGAGUCGGUGCUCGCAAUCUCCCCCUACAGGAAUUUCUUUUUACCAGUCAAAGGUGCUUUCAGGAGAGUUGAGUAUCUUAGUGGCUUCCUAAUCUUGGGAGUUGUGUUGGAUGUCCUUUUGGCCCCUCAGUUCUGCAUUCUUUGUGCCCACUCUCAGUGAGCAUCCUUCUCCUGAAGCUUUGUGAACCUGUCCCUGGCUCUGAGCUCCUUGAAGCAUGCCAAGGCCUGAAGCUUAACAAGGCAAUUCUACCAACAAGGAAUUUGUUUUUCUAACCCAUGGGCAUCACUGAGAGCUUGGUGGUUAGUUGCUGUCUAUUUCAUGGAUUAAAUCUCCCUUCCGCUUGAUUGGGCUUGAAAAUACACAAGGCUGAAAUAGAUCAAUAUAAAGAGCAUCCUUCCUUAAGAGCUCUUUUAUAUGUUCUACAGUUUGCAUCCCAUAUAACUCACAAAAAUUAAAUUUCAGUUUAUGACCAGCAAAGGAGUAAUUCUGCCCUGAGCAGAUUCCAAGAGGUGAAUGGCUACAGUCAUGGAACUGGAGCUAAUGCUGCACCUGUGGCUAACACACGCCGAAUGGCUACAGUCAUGGAACUGGAGCUAAUGCUGCACCUGUGGCUAACACACGCCCUGCAGGACAUGGAGCAGAGGAGGGAAUUGCACGUUCAGAUGCAGAGCCAGGAGUUGUUAUUAGUUGUCCAAUAUGCAUGGAUUAUUACUCAGAGAUUGUGCAAAGCGGACGACUGAUGGUGGCAACUAUGUGUGGCCACAUGUUCUGCAGCGCGUGCCUCCCCGUUGCCCUGGAGACCACCGGCAUGUGCCCAACCUGCAGAGAGGAACUCGAUGCAGAAAUGUAUUUUCCAAUUUAUUUAUGAGAGUUUCCGCUGCUCAGGGCAGUCUCAGGUGCAUCUUGGAGAAGAGGAGGUGUAGAGGCCUGUUUCUUUAUGUAUAUAGUUCUUUUUGUACAUAGUUUCAUUUUUGGUGCGUUCAGUUAUAAAUAAAGUUUUGAUUGAU
RNAcentral lists this long non-coding RNA (1132 nucleotides) under Cyanistes caeruleus (blue tit). Its description in RNAcentral is "lncRNA (ENSCCEG00000021121.1)". The record is from RNAcentral. Lineage: Eukaryota; Metazoa; Chordata; Aves; Passeriformes; Paridae.